Molecule: ribosomal RNA, 208 nt
Filed under: Burkholderia cenocepacia
Lineage: Bacteria; Pseudomonadati; Pseudomonadota; Betaproteobacteria; Burkholderiales; Burkholderiaceae
Description: partial 23S ribosomal RNA
Rfam family: Bacterial large subunit ribosomal RNA
Source: RNAcentral
CCAGUGGCAUCGCCGGGUAGCUAUGUUCGGAAGAGAUAACCGCUGAAAGCAUCUAAGCGGGAAACUCGCCUUAAGAUGAGAUAUCCCUGGGGACUAGAUCCCCUUGAAGGGUCGUUCGAGACCAGGACGUUGAUAGGUCAGGUGUGUAAGCGCAGUAAUGCGUUCAGCUAACUGAUACUAAUUGCCCGUAAGGCUUGAUCCUAUAACA